GAGUUUGAUCCUGGCUCAGAACGAACGCUGGCGGCAGGCUUAACACAUGCAAGUCGAACGCCGUAGCAAUACGGAGUGGCAGACGGGUGAGUAACACGUGGGAACGUGCCCUUUGGUUCGGAACAACCCAGGGAAACUUGGGCUAAUACCGGAUAAGCCCUACGGGGGAAAGAUUUAUCGCCAAAGGAUCGGCCCGCGUCUGAUUAGGUAGUUGGUGGGGUAACGGCCCACCAAGGCUACGAUCAGUAGCUGGUCUGAGAGGAUGAUCAGCCACACUGGGACUGAGACACGGCCCAGACUCGUACGGGAGGCAGCAGUUAGGAAUCUUGGACAAUGGGCGCAAGCCUGAUCCAGCCAUGCCGCGUGAGUGAUGAAGGCCUUAGGGUUGUAAAGCUCUUUCAGCGGGGAAGAUAAUGACGGUACCCGCAGAAGAAGCCCCGGCUAACUUCGUGCCAGCAGCCGCGGUAAUACGAAGGGGGCUAGCGUUGCUCGGAAUCACUGGGCGUAAAGCGCACGUAGGCGGCUUUUUAAGUCAGGGGUGAAAUCCUGGAGCUCAACUCCAGAACUGCCUUUGAUACUGGGAAGCUUGAGUCCGGAAGAGGUGAGUGGAACUCCGAGUGUAGAGGUGAAAUUCGUAGAUAUUCGGAAGAACACCAGUGGCGAAGGCGGCUCACUGGUCCGGUACUGACGCUGAGGUGCGAAAGCGUGGGGAGCAAACAGGAUUAGAUACCCUGGUAGUCCACGCCGUAAACGAUGGAUGCUAGCCGUUGGAGGGUUUACCCUUCAGUGGCGCAGCUAACGCAUUAAGCAUCCCGCCUGGGGAGUACGGUCGCAAGAUUAAAACUCAAAGGAAUUGACGG
RNAcentral lists this ribosomal RNA (860 nucleotides) under uncultured Rhodoplanes sp. Its description in RNAcentral is "bacterial SSU rRNA". It matches the Rfam family "Bacterial small subunit ribosomal RNA", at positions 9 to 916 of the family's 1533-position model. Lineage: Bacteria; Pseudomonadati; Pseudomonadota; Alphaproteobacteria; Hyphomicrobiales; Nitrobacteraceae. The record is from RNAcentral.